Molecule: non-coding RNA, 112 nt
Organism: Acanthosepion pharaonis
Lineage: Eukaryota; Metazoa; Mollusca; Cephalopoda; Sepiida; Sepiidae
Source: the annotation of a GenBank genome assembly
UUAUGGCCACAUCACAAUGAAACACUGAUUCUCAUAUGAUCACUGAAGUUAAGCAAUGUUAAGCCUGGUCAGACCAAGAUUGAUGACCACUUGGGAAUACCAGGUGUUGUAA